AAAGGUAUUUAAGAAUAUUUCAUUCAUUCAGAUCUAGGAUGUGUUAUUUUAGUGUUCCCUUUAUUUUUUUGAGCAGUGUAUAUGACUUUGUGGUUGUGGGUGGAUGUCAACUGCUGGCUGGAAUUCUCACUCAACUGUACCACUAAUAUGAACCUGUUCUACAGACUCUUGUAGACUACUAUGCACUGAAAAACAGUUAAUAUGUUACAAAUCAAAGCUUAACAUUGAAAUAUGUGAUUUCAAAUGAUUAAGUUAAAUUCAGAUAGGCAUGUUAUGUGCUCUCUAACACAAACAUAAAAUGUGUUGUUGCUGUAGACCUUUUAACAGAUCUAGGAGCAGUUGACCACAGAAUGUUAACAUUAGCCACUAAUAUCUGACUUCAGUACUGUCUAUAGCUGUUUGUUCAUUAAUACUUAUAUGUGGCCUUAAUAUACAGCAUAUGACCUGGUAAAGGAGAGGGGGAUGGGAGCAGAGAAGGGGAUGGGAGGCUGCUCAAUGAUUGGCUGUAGUGUAGGGCGUGUCAUACAAUGUAUCAAAAUUUCAACUGCUGGCUGGAAUUCUCACUCAACUGUACCACUAAUAUGAACCUGUUCUACAGACUCUUGUAGACUACUAUGCACUGAAAAACAGUUAAUAUGUUACAAAUCAAAGCUUAACAUUGAAAUAUGUGAUUUCAAAUGAUUAAGUUAAAUUCAGAUAGGCAUGUUAUGUGCUCUCUAACACAAACAUAAAAUGUGUUGUUGUUGUAGACCUUUUAACAGAUCUAGUUGACCUCCACAGAAUGUGCACAUUAGCCACUAAUAUCUGACUUCAGUAUAGUUUAUAGAGGUGUAUAUGUCUGUCUGUGUCUUUCAGUUUCUAUUUAGACUACAUCAAAUAUGAAGAAGCUGUGCAGCCACACCAUGUUCAACAUGUUACCUAAUUAGCUAGCUAGCUGACAAUCUGGUUUACCUGUAGCAUAUAAACAUUUGUUGGCACAGAAAGAAAGGGGAUACGAAAAAUGAUUGAUCAAAUUCCUCCUGACACUAUCUGACUGGGUUAAUAACUUAAUAUUAAGUUAAUAUGGACCCAUUGUCUUAGACUUGAACUCUUGGACCAAACAGUGGGACUCUGAUUUCAGCCAUAGGGACUUGUGACUCGACUCCUGACUCCAACAUUGGUGACUUUGACUCAACUCAGAGUAGCCAUAGGGUCUUGUGAAUUGACUCGGACUUAUGCUUUUGUGACUCAACUACAACACUGCUGCCAUUACAUGGCUACUACUACUGCUUCAACUACCAAUUCUAGCAAGUUGUACCCCAGGUUGGGUACACUUUUCUGCUGCUCCCUCAAAAGCAUUAAGCAGACAUUUUGAUUAUACCUCCCUCCCCAUAACUCUCUGUUGGGGUGAGGCUUUCUACAAAUAUACGCAGCAAGAGGAUUACAACAGCUAACACAGGAAGCUGAAAUCCUGGGGUCUGCCUUAUGUUCCCUCAGUUCUACCCCAGUUUGAAAAUGUGCUUUUCAUCCAUGACCAGGCCAUGUUUCGGCCAUUUUGCCGCACUAGGCAAGUCUGCAAUAGACCUUCUCCUACCCGGAAAAGAAAUAGGCCUAUAGUGUACAAUGUUGGCCUAUAAUGUCAUUUUAUAACUAGGCCUAACAUUUGAUAGCCUACCAUUUGUAAAACAUGCAGUUGCGUUGGCUUUAUUAACCCAGUCCUGAUUCCUGACAAAGGCUUAUAGGGACUUGUCCUUUAAGAUAUGAACAUCAGCUACUCAUCAGCUACCCAAUGUUAUUAUGAGUUUUCUUGAGGCUUUUUGCAAAGAGAUCAAUGCUGAUGUAAAGGCCUACGUCUUCACAGCAGUACAAACCUGAAAUCACGUAUUAUCAUUACAUUUUAUUCCACAUUGUGAAACCAGGGAUCUAGUGGAAGAUAAAUGCAAAUAUGAUUAAAAAAAGGCCUGUUAUAAGAGAGAAAGAGAGAUUGUGGGAGUAGCUGAGUGCCUAUAGUGAGAGAUGGCUGUUAAUAUCAGUAGGCUGUUUGAGUGGUCUGUGGGCAGGUAAUUAAUCUGAUUGCUGAUGGGUUAGGUUGCUAGAUCAAAUCUUAACCUGCCAUAAGCUACUUUUGUGUCAGCAAGUCUCCCCAGUGAAAAAUGUACAUAUCCACCACUCCAUCUUUCAUGUACAGACCAUUCAAGUAGCUGCACUUACCACCUCACUGAUACUGAUUGUGUAAGCUACAAACCCAAAUUGUCUAAGGAAAUGUGGCUAACAGUAAUAACAUUGCAGACAUAUUCAGAAAUCUGGGCUGAUGGAAUCAUUGUUAUGCAUAUCUACUGGCCAUAAUUUCCGCUUGAGGUCCUGCCCCUCCCCCACUGCAAAGUGCACAACAGUACCAAACUAUCAAAGGUUUUAUAGGUCAACACAGUCCCCCCCCUCCCCCGUCCUUUGUAUAUUAUUUAUAUAUACUUGUGUUCCCAUAUGUACUUCCUGUAUUUAUGUGUUGUUAAUAAAAAUAUUAUAAUAAUAAAAGAUACACAGUUCCCCCUCCCCCAUGUUGCAGCAUAAAUCUCUGCUCAAGGUUGCCAUGUACACUAUUUGUGGUUUAUUGAUGUACUUUUAAAACUUUGUGGCAGGUGAAAGGUUUUGGUCGCUAGGUGGAAGUUGUUAUACUACUUCUAUAUUGCAACGUUACCAACAUGGCAUUUAAAAAAAAUCAUUAAUUUCCCUGUAUUCUGCGAAAAUUGUGCUAGUGAAGGUGGGUUUUGAAGGCUGGUUUUGAGCAGACUCCUAGAAAUUUGAAAUUGACCUGGCAAACCUGUCCCUGCCUGAGCGUGAUCACCACUGAAGUAGCUGUGCAGCACGUGUUUUAAGGAAGAGGAGGAUGGUUGCAGAUGUUUGCAUUCAUGCAAGAAGGUAAGCUAUUAACUAAACUGUUAACCAAUAUUUUAGCUAAAAUUGUAUUUGGUGUAUUGACAAGCAAUGCAUGUUCUCGUUGUCUUUAUUUUUAAUGAAUUAAUGUCAGUCAUGUAUGUCUUUCGGUGGAAUCCAACAUGCAUUGACGAUGUCUGAAAGCCGCAUUGUGUCAGAUAUACUGCGUCAUGACAUUGAAAUUGGCAGGUUUAUCCAAACAAUUCAUUAAUGUGCAAUUGUUUCUUUGCAUGUUUCUACCUUAUAGUUAUUUGUGGCUUGCUAACGGUUAGUGUGCUAGCUAACUGUUAGCGUGCUAGCUAACGGUUAGCAUGCUACCCAUGCUAGUUAAAAAAAGAAAUAUGCUAGCUAUGGUUGCAAGCUAGCUAAUAAGUUUAGCAUAAUUGGUAAACGUGUCUAUGAUUUAGAAUACAUGAUUGUGGUUAACACAAUGUUACAUGCAUUGGAAAAUAAUAUUGCUAUAGUGUAACAAGCUAGCAAGAAAAGCCAGUUCCUUUUCAUCUGUUUUGUCAAGUCAUAAGCCUGUAUGUGUGUUAAAAUAUUUAAACCCCCUCAUUAAAUUAAUGUAUUGAAGUUGCGCCCGUUUUUUAUAGCCCUUUCUUACCCAAAUACCGUUUUUUACAUUGAAAUAAUUCAGAUGAAAAUAAGAAAUAUGUUAAACUAAUUAAGAAAUAAGUGACCAGAUUUUUUUUAUUGAAAACCAUGGACAUUAGUUUGGGUGGGGGGAGGGGCGUGGUGGGGUUCCUAGUUCUUUUUUUUUUGCACAUAAAAGAGUGAAACACCACAACAAGUAUAAGGGUUGUGGAAAGUGUCCAUUUUGGUAGGACUGUGACAAUUCACUGUCUUGAAAAAAUAUAUACAUAUACUGGCAGAUUCUUUAACCAAAUCCCUAUUUCUUACACACAUUUUUUAAGAUCGAAAACAUAAUGGAAGAUAAGAGUCCAGGAACCUACAAAGUAACCAAUGCGGUAUGUUUUCUGAUUUGCCUAGUAUUUAGAGUACGCUUGCCUUGCUUUAGCCAAACCACUCAUACUGAUUCUCUUUUAGUCCAUCCAUAAAAGCAGAUUCAGCUUUAGUUGCAUGCAGGAACUUGCAUAAUGUGCUUCUGUUAUGCUUAUACUUGCUUUUUUACCUUGAAAGUAGUUUUAAAAAAACAGAAAUUGUAAUAGAUGUUUGUUGGACCUCUAUUAGUCAAUGAUAACAGCCCCUCUAUUAGUCAAUGAUAACAGUCAUUGGUGUCCCCCAGCCCCUCUAUUAGUCAAUGAUAACAGUCAUUGGUGUCCCCCAGCCCCUCUAUUAGUCAAUGAUAACAGUCAUUGGUGUCCCCCAGCCCAUCCCCUGUUGUGUGCCGAGCAAUCUUGUCAUUCUAUUAAGUCUCAACGUUUCUUUUUGUCUUCCUUUACAAAGGCACUGCAGAGGCUAAGAAGGCGCAUGGAAAAUCUAAAGAAGCAUAGUUCAACUUGUGAGGCCAGAUUUGAAAAGGAAAAGAUAAAUCCCGAAGCGCAGAUGUCAGACACCGAGGCUGCCAGUACCUCUGAGGCUGCCAGUACCUCUGAGGCUGCCAGUACCUCUGAGGCUGCCAGUACCUCUGAGGCUGCCAGUACUUCUGGGUCGAUAGUCAAUGUGUUGGAUGAUGCACCACCGUUGAUCAGAACAGACAGUAUAUACUUGACCAAAGCUAUGCUUGGAUACAAGACUGAUGACUCAAUAACCAGCAUUGACAACAGUGAAGGUGAUUAUGUCCCAGGGCCAUCAGAAUCAUCAGAGGAAGACAAUUCUGAUGAUUUUUCAGAACCAAAGACAAGGGUGGACAGCAGUAAACACGUUGAUUUAGUCUCAGAGGGAGACAGUUCAGAUAAAAUAGCAGGAGUCAAGAGAAGGAAUCACUACAAGAAGACUAGCAAGAGAUGCAGAAGUUCCUCAGAAGAAAACAGCUCAAAUGAAGAAACAGAACUCAAGAGAAAGAAUCAAUAUGCAAAUACUUAUAAGAGAUGUACUAGUUCCCCAAUGUCAAACACUAGCAGUGAAUCAUUGCUUGUAAUGAAUGUCUCAGAAUUAGAUGGAUCCAAAAAGUACCACCAAAAAAAGCACUUCUGUCUGUUUUGCGAGCAACCGCAAUCCAAAAUUGCCCGUCAUUUACAACGUAAACAUGGGGAUGAAAUAGAAGUAGCUACUGCACUUCGGUUUGCAAAGAGAUCAAAAGCUAGGAGACUUCAGCUGAAUCUUCUUCGCAAGAAGGGGAAUCGGGCACACAACAUUCAGGCACUUAAAGAAGGAAAGGGGGUUUUGGUACCAUGUAAACAAACAAGUAAUGACAAGACCAAUCACCAGGACUAUCAGCAUUGUUUUGCCUGCCAUGGGCUCUUUAAACGCAAAUCUAUGUGGAGGCAUGUGGCAAGGUGCACACUAGCACAACACGUUCGAAAGGAGAUGCCUGGCAAAACCAGAAUACAGGCGCUCUGUGCUAAUGCUCAACCGGUUGCUAAAGGAGUGAGUGAAAAGGUAUGGAAACUUGUGAGUAACAUGGCUCAAGAUGAUGUAGCCCAUGCAGUAAAACAAGACAGAUACAUCUUGGCAUUGGGUGAAAAAAUGUACAACAAGAAAGGGGAGAACCCCUCACAACACCAGCACAUUCGUCAAACUUUGCGAGAACUAGGGAGACUUGUGAUUAAAGGUAGAAAGGUGACACCACUGAAAAAGAUGAAGGAUUAUAUCAACCCAAAACACUUCCAACACAUCAUAAAAGCUGUCAAAGAAGUGACUGGCUAUGAUGAAAAGACAAACAAAUUCGAAAAAGCAACCCUGGCGACAAAGCUUGGGCAAAGCAUCCAGAAAAUUGCAGACAUCAUGGAGGGUGAAGCUCUUAUUACCCAGAAUGAAGAAAAGUUGAAGCUUGUCCGAGACUUCCAAGGCAUCUACCGUCUUCGCUGGAAUGAAAUGAUCUCUUCUGCUGCAUAUCGUACACUUGAACAGAAGAAAUGGAACGCACCGCAGCUUAUUCCAUUAGCAGAUGACGUUAAAAAAAUACACAUGUACUUAGAUGAAAAGCAGAAACAAUACUACAACCAACUGUGCGAUGAGAAAACCUCAGGAAAAUGGAGCAAUCUAGCAAAAGUGAUACUGGCUCAGAUGAUUAUCUUCAACAGGAAAAGAGAGGGAGAGGUGUCAAAGAUGUCUGUGGCAACAUUUCACUCCAGGGACAAAUCCCCACUUAACAAAGAUGUUGCAGUGGCGCUAACAGAGGUUGAGAGACUACUCUGUGCGCAUUUUGAACGCAUUGAAACCUGUGGGAAGCGUGGCAGGAAGGUGCCUGUAAUCCUUACUCCAGUGAUGGUGGAAUCUUUAGAGCUGCUUAUCAAAGAGCGGUGCUCAUGUGGAGUGAGCGAAGGAAAUAUCUACUUAUUUGCCAGGCCAGGAUAUGAUACACAUUUUCGGGGGAAUGACUGCAUCCGCGCCUAUGCCAAACAAUGUGGUGCCAAGUUACCUGAAGCAUUGUCAUCAACUAAACUACGAAAACAGGUUGCCACCCUCUCCAGAGUGUUAAAUCUCAAUGAUACAGAACAGGACCAGUUUGCUGACUUCUUGGGUCACGACAUUCGGAUUCAUCGAAAGUUCUACCGUCUUCCAGAGGGAACGCUUCAGUUGGCCAAAAUAAGUAAAAUACUGAUGGCAUGUGAACAGGGCAGAUUGGCAGAGUUCAAGGGGAAAAGUCUGGAUCAAAUAACCAUCAGUCCCAGUGGUAAGUUUACCCCCAGUGUUUAGUUUAAUGGCAAAAAGUUUACACUGACAAUAAAAACAAAGGUUUUGUUUUGCGCAGAUUUAGCUUGCCUCAAUUUAGCAUUCUUCUUUUGGCCAUCUUUUAGAAAAAAGCAUGGCUGAAAAUAAUGAGGCUGCAGACUCUUGUUCAUCAGAGAACGACUCUGAGAGAGAGGAGUCAUCUGAAAAAUCCUAUGAAGAAAAUCUGACCGGAGAGAUGUCAGCGAUUCGGGCCAAACAGCCAAUGACUAAGGGAAAGCUGGGACAAAAGAGAGGCUCACAUGGUUAGACUGUUUCCUGCUGUCUUCAGUCAGUGCAUUUUCACUCUGGCAAAAAAUGCUGACUCUAAUUUCUUGUGCACUGAUUUAACUUGCUGCAAUUUGCUUUUGUUUUUAUUGUCUUUUACAAACUGUUAUGUCUGAAGAAAUUGAUGCUGCAGCCACUGAUUGUGCAUCAGAGAACGACUCUGAGAGAGAGGAGUCGUCUGAAAAAUCCUAUGAAGAAAAUCUGACCGGAGAGAUGUCAGCGAUUCGGGCCAAACAGCCAAUCACCAAGGGAAAGCUGGGACAAAAGAGAGGCUCACAUGGUGCCAAAGGAACAAAAAGGUUUUGGUCGACAAUAGAGGUGGAUGCAGUUGAAGAUUCCUUGAUGAAUUUUAUCCGAAUGGGAAAAACGCCUGGAAAACAAGACUGUGAGAAAUGCAUUGCUGCUUCUGGCCAAGCGCUAGUAAACAGGGACUGGAGAGCAGUAAAGUUCUAUGUACACAACAGAAUAGUUGCAGAUCAGAGAAAAUAAGUGUAUAAGAUGCUUCUAUCUUGGUGUACCUCUGAGGAUUUAAUGGGACUUACUUGACUUAAGCUCAUAGGCAGUUAAUGAAUGUCCUCCAUCUCACUCUGUUUGGGGGAAGUUUUCCCAGGUGGGUUGUUCACUUUUGGAGUGAUUAAGGUCUCAAGAAUACAAAGCCUGCUGACUUUGAAUGUUACAGAAAAAUAAAAAA
RNA transcript from Salvelinus fontinalis (brook trout), 7663 nucleotides. RefSeq lists it as uncharacterized. The record is from RefSeq and is a predicted model, not a curated record. Lineage: Eukaryota; Metazoa; Chordata; Actinopteri; Salmoniformes; Salmonidae. The transcript has 6 exons.